Molecule: long non-coding RNA, 335 nt
Organism: Capra hircus (goat)
Lineage: Eukaryota; Metazoa; Chordata; Mammalia; Artiodactyla; Bovidae
Source: Ensembl
GUCUUUGGCAUGGCAGCCUGGGAUGGUCACAUAGAACUCAGUGGCAUGGCGAUCCUGCAGGUGUCCAGCAGAAAGAGAUCACACAGAAACCAUCCACCUCCACAAUCACCCUGGUGACCAGCACCUAUUCGUCGCCCCUGGUGACCAGCUCAGGAUCCAUGAGCACCCUUGCACCUUCUGUCAGCCCGCCCAUCACUACUGCUUCAGCUGAUGUCACUGCAGACACCGCCAAGUACACUAGCAAUAUUCUGGAAGGUGAAUGGGAUCUGCUCAUGAGGGGGACUGACAUGCAAGGAGGCGGCACUUGGAAGUCCUCACUGUGGACAGCUGAGUGA